RNAcentral lists this ribosomal RNA (451 nucleotides) under uncultured Moraxellaceae bacterium. RNAcentral describes it as "bacterial SSU rRNA". It matches the Rfam family "Bacterial small subunit ribosomal RNA", at positions 354 to 796 of the family's 1533-position model. The record is from RNAcentral. Lineage: Bacteria; Pseudomonadati; Pseudomonadota; Gammaproteobacteria; Moraxellales; Moraxellaceae.
GUGGGGAAUAUUGGACAAUGGGCGCAAGCCUGAUCCAGCCAUGCCGCGUGUGUGAAGAAGGCCUUAUGGUUGUAAAGCACUUUAAGCGAGGAGGAGGCUACUUUAGAUAAUACCUAGAGAUAGUGGACGUUACUCGCAGAAUAAGCACCGGCUAACUCUGUGCCAGCAGCCGCGGUAAUACAGAGGGUGCAAGCGUUAAUCGGAUUUACUGGGCGUAAAGCGCGCGUAGGCGGCUAAUUAAGUCAAAUGUGAAAUCCCCGAGCUUAACUUGGGAAUUGCAUUCGAUACUGGUUAGCUAGAGUGUGGGAGAGGAUGGUAGAAUUCCAGGUGUAGCGGUGAAAUGCGUAGAGAUCUGGAGGAAUACCGAUGGCGAAGGCAGCCAUCUGGCCUAACACUGACGCUGAGGUGCGAAAGCAUGGGGAGCAAACAGGAUUAGAAACCCCAGUAGUCC